RNAcentral lists this transfer RNA (69 nucleotides) under Micromonospora yangpuensis. Its description in RNAcentral is "tRNA-Arg". Lineage: Bacteria; Bacillati; Actinomycetota; Actinomycetes; Micromonosporales; Micromonosporaceae. The record is from RNAcentral.
GGCCACCAGGGUGUGCACCCGCCGGGCGCUCCGACUGCCCGAGGUCGGGUUCUGCCCCGGCGUGGCCCC